RNAcentral lists this long non-coding RNA (690 nucleotides) under Brassica napus (rape). RNAcentral describes it as "long non-coding RNA (BNAP_LNC019573)". The record is from RNAcentral. Lineage: Eukaryota; Viridiplantae; Streptophyta; Magnoliopsida; Brassicales; Brassicaceae.
AACACUACGAGCUUGACAUGUUUGGUUUAAACUACCGUGACACUAGAAUCACACGACAACAUCACAAGACUACAAGCUUACCACUUGGUAAUAACCACCCGUAACACUAUAAAACAGAAGACAACUGAUUGACAUGUUUGGUAAUAACUCCCGUGACACAUGAAAACAGUAGAGCACAAGAGACUAAAAUUCCUCCACCGAGACUUCAUGACACUGAGCUUCUCCGUGAGUACACUGCUACACUCUUCUGCACCUGGAAAACUAAGAGAAGAACAUGAGACAGAGAUAACUAUAACAAGUAUUUUUAUGAUUACUAACUAGCCUCUUAUAUUAACCAAACACCAAGACAAGAAGAUGAGACAGCGAACACAAGAACAAGCAUUUAUAUAAUUAAUAGCCACAGUCACAUUACAACCAUAAGAAGAACAUGAAAAUAAGACACUGAAACUAAAACAUGAGAACAAGACAUUGAAACUAAAAACAUCACCACAAGACACAUAAACUAAAAAUUAGAACAAGAACUUAGAAUAUCGAAUUUCUUUCUUAGCAUAGAGCUAAUUUGAGAGCAAGUCAGUAAUCAGCUUCUUCUUCAAAGCCUCUUCAUAGUCAAGAAGCGAUUCUGUCUUUGCAAGUAAUGAGUCAAGUAGCUUCAUCUUUGAUAACUUCUCAUUCAUAGCCAAAUCCUGCAUC